ACAAGCAGACUCAAGCGAAAUCUCAUUGUGCUAUAUAUGAUAAGACUGAGAAAUUCAGAAAGUCAAUUCAUUCUCAUCUCUCCUUAUCAUACUAGUCUGCUUGGCUAGGAAGCUAAUGCU
This 120-nucleotide small RNA is filed under the name Streptococcus pneumoniae. Its description in RNAcentral is "ncRNA of unknown function". The record is from RNAcentral. Lineage: Bacteria; Bacillati; Bacillota; Bacilli; Lactobacillales; Streptococcaceae.